GGUUGUUUCAGAUAGGGGGGUAAGUCUGGUCUCUGUUAUUCCAUCUCGCCCAGAAGCAGAAGUCUGAAGUGGGGAAUGAGACUUGAACUACUUAGGAUGUGAAGCUGGAGAAGGUCAGGGUAGAAGAGGACCUGGUGCCCCAGCACUAUAUGUGUGUAAACGGUGGAGAUGUGUCCUUCCUGCAGAGGCCUGUAUUCAGCUGGGUUGUGGCUAGAAAGAGAUCACAAGUAAGCAGAGAGGCAGACAGAGAGAGAGAGAGGAAGGGAAGCAGGCUCCCUGAUGAGCAGAGAGCCCAACGCAGGGCUCCAUCCCAGGACCCCAGGAUCAUGACCUGAGCUGAAGGCAGAGGCUUUAACCCACUGAGCCACCCAGGUGCCCCAAGGAUUAUGUCUUUUAAAAACAUUAUGUCUGAGUAUUUCCCUCACUCCUUUCCCCCCUCUGCCUUUGAUUACCCACUAAAUCUGGCACAAAUACAGAUUGAG
This 482-nucleotide long non-coding RNA is filed under the name Mustela putorius furo (domestic ferret). Its description in RNAcentral is "lncRNA (ENSMPUG00000025011.1)". The record is from RNAcentral. Lineage: Eukaryota; Metazoa; Chordata; Mammalia; Carnivora; Mustelidae.